UUCAAAAUUGCUUUUGAUACAAUGGGGAAAGGAUUCCCUAACUAACAAACAGUGCUGGGAGAACAGGCUAGCCAUAUGGAGAAAACUGAAACUGGACCUUUUCCUUACACCAUAUACAAAAAUUAAGCAGAGAUGGAUUAAAGACUUAAAUGUAAAACCCAAAGCUAUAACAACCCUAGAAGAAGAUAUAGGCAAUACCAUUCAGGACAUAGGUAUAAGCAAAGGUUUUAUGAUGAAAUCACUAAAGCAAUUGCAACAAAAGCGAAAACUGACAAAUGGGAUUUAAUUAAAUGAAAGAGCUUCUGCACAGCAAAAGAAGCUAUCAUCAGAAUGAACAGACAACCUACAGAAUGGGAGGAAAUGUUUGCAAUAUGCAUCCAACAGAGGUAUAAUAACAAGCAUUUAUAUGGAACUUAAACAAAUUUAUGAGAAAAAAUAUCAACCCCAU
Long non-coding RNA from Sapajus apella (tufted capuchin), 448 nucleotides. RefSeq lists it as uncharacterized. The record is from RefSeq and is a predicted model, not a curated record. The transcript is spliced from 3 exons. Lineage: Eukaryota; Metazoa; Chordata; Mammalia; Primates; Cebidae.